RNAcentral lists this long non-coding RNA (320 nucleotides) under Cricetulus griseus (Chinese hamster). RNAcentral's name for it is "lncRNA (ENSCGRG00000025092.1)". The record is from RNAcentral. Lineage: Eukaryota; Metazoa; Chordata; Mammalia; Rodentia; Cricetidae.
CUACAUGAGUUGCAGGGAUCAAACAGGUCACCAUCUGCUUCAGUGACAAGUAUUUUACCCACUGAACCAUCUCACUGGUCUCCUGGUAGAUUUUUAAGGUGGUAUAAAAGGGACAAGAGAAAAAUAAGAAUAAGAAGGAGGAGGAGAAAAAUAAAAUGAAGGAUUAAGCUUUGCCUCCUCAGGUAAGCCUCCUGUGUGUGUGUUUAGCAUUUGCCGACUCCUCAUCUCCUCUCCAGAAUCUGAUUUUUCUGCACCAGUGCCUUAACCCUACGGAACUGGAGGCUGAGGCAGGAGGAUUACAAAUCCAGGGCCACCCUGAG